AAACCAACAGGGAUUGCCCUAGUAACGGCGAGUGAAGCGGCAACAGCUCAAAUUUGAAAUCUGGCUUCCUUUGGGGGUCCGAGUUGUAAUUUGCAGAGGGUGCUUUGGCGUCGGCAGCGGUCUAAGUUCCUUGGAACAGGACAUCACAGAGGGUGAGAAUCCCGUACGUGGUCGCCUGCCUUCGCCGUGUAAAGCCCCUUCGACGAGUCGAGUUGUUUGGGAAUGCAGCUCUAAAUGGGAGGUAAAUUUCUUCUAAAGCUAAAUACCGGCCAGAGACCGAUAGCGCACAAGUAGAGUGAUCGAAAGAUGAAAAGCACUUUGGAAAGAGAGUCAAACAGCACGUGAAAUUGUUGAAAGGGAAGCGCUUGCAGCCAGACUUGCUCGCAGUUGCUCAUCCGGGUCCGCCCGGAGCACUCUUCUGCGAGCAGGCCAGCAUCAGUUUGGGCGACCGGAUAAAGGCCUCUGUCAUGUAUCUUCCUUCGGGAUGACCUUAUAGGGGAGGCGUAAUGCGGCCAGCCCGGACUGAGGUCCGCGCAUCUGCUAGGAUGCUGGCGUAAUGGCUGUAAGCGGC
This 571-nucleotide ribosomal RNA is filed under the name Pleosporales sp. OTU11 TS-2013. RNAcentral describes it as "eukaryotic LSU rRNA". It matches the Rfam family "Eukaryotic large subunit ribosomal RNA", at positions 62 to 648 of the family's 3401-position model. The record is from RNAcentral. Lineage: Eukaryota; Fungi; Ascomycota; Dothideomycetes; Pleosporales.